CCCUGGCCUCUUCUUCUUCUCCCUCUUUCUUGCAUUAUUAGUUUUUGUAGGUUGCCAUUAUUUACGCUUUUCAGUUACAUCUUUUCAUGUGUAAUGUUAGAUGAUUGUAUCGAUAAAUCAUUUAGUCUCGACAUGAAGAUAGAGUCUCCCACAUGCUCCACAAAACCAUGAAGCUACAUGAUCGAUGGAAAAGACAUGUAUAUUACUUCCCUCUGAAAUUAACCAUGUAAAAGUUUGUUCCUUCAUUUAAACUAGUUAGACAAAUGUAAUGCACAUACAAAAUACAUAAAUAUGAAUAUAGAAAUGAUCACU
RNAcentral lists this long non-coding RNA (312 nucleotides) under Elaeis guineensis (African oil palm). RNAcentral describes it as "long non-coding RNA (EGUI_LNC022134)". The record is from RNAcentral. Lineage: Eukaryota; Viridiplantae; Streptophyta; Magnoliopsida; Arecales; Arecaceae.